GGUCUUGAACUCUUGACCUCGAGUAAUCCUCCUGCCUCAGCCUCCCAAAGUGUUGGGAUUGCAGAUAUGAGCCACUGGCCUGGCCUUCAGCAGUUCUUUUUGUGAAGUAAAACUUGUAUGUUGGAAAGAGUAGAUUUUAUUGGUCUACCCUUUUCUCACUGUAGCUGCUGGCAGCCCUGUGCCAUAUCUGGACUCUAGUUGUCAGUAUCUGAGUUGGACACUAUUCCUGCUCCCUCUGGUUUCUUACAUAGCAGACUUCUUACUUGAAUGAACCUGAUCUUUCCUAAUCCUCACUUUUUUCUUUUUUAAAAUAGCAGUUUCUCCACUGCUAAAUGUUAGUCAUUGAGGUGGGGCCAAUUUUAAUCAUAAGCCUUAAUAAGAUUUUUCUAAGAAAUGUGAAAUAGAACAAUUUUCAUCUAAUUCCAUUUACUUUUAGAUGAAUGACAUUGUGAAUGCCAUUCUUUUAAUGAAUUUCAAGAGAAUUCUCUGGUUUUCUGUGUAAUUCCAGAUGAGUCACUGUAACUCUAGAAGAUUAACCUUCCAACCAACCUAUUUUCCUUUCCCUUGUCUCUCUCUCCCUCUUUUCCUUCCUUCUUUCCUUUCUCUUCUUUUAUCUCCAAGGUUAAUCAGGAAAAAUAGCUUUUGACAGGGGAAAAAACUCAAUAACUAGCUAUUUUUGACCUCCUGAUCAGGAACUUUAGUUGAAGCGUAAAUCUAAAGAAACAUUUUCUCUGAAAUAUAUUAUUAAGGGCAAUGGAGAUAAAUUAAUAGUAGACGUGGUUCCCAGAAAAUAUAAUCAAAAUUCAAAGAUUUUUUUUGUUUCUGUAACUGGAACUAAAUCAAAUGAUUACUAGUGUUAAUAGUAGAUAACUUGUUUUUAUUGUUGGUGCAUAUUAGUGUAACUGUGGGGUAGGUCGGGGAGAGGGUAAGGGAAUAGAUCACUCAGAUGUAUUUUAGAUAAGCUAUUUAGCCUUUGAUGGAAUCAUAAAUACAGUGAAUACAAUCCUUUGCAUUGUUAAGGAGGUUUUUUGUUUUUAAAUGGUGGGUCAAGGAGCUAGUUUACAGGCUUACUGUGAUUUAAGCAAAUGUGAAAAGUGAAACCUUAAUUUUAUCAAAAGAAAUUUCUGUAAAUGGUAUGUCUCCUUAGAAUACCCAAAUCAUAAUUUUAUUUGUACACACUGUUAGGGGCUCAUCUCAUGAGGAUUCCUUGAGCCCUGGAGUUUGAGUCCAGCCUGGGUGACAUAGCAAGACCCUGUCUUAAAAGAAAAAUGGGAAGAAAGACAAGGUAACAUGAAGAAAGAAGAGAUACCUAAUAUGAUGGAGCUGCAAAUUUCAUGGCAGUUCAUGCAGUUGGUCAAGAGGAGGAUUUUGUUUUGUAGUUUGCAGAUGAGCAUUUCUAAAGCAUUUUCCCUUGCUGUAUUUUUUUGUAUUAUAAAUUACAUUGGACUUCAUAUAUAUAAAUUUUUUUUACAUUAUAUGUCUCUUGUAUGUUUUGAAACUCUUGUAUUUAUGAUAUAGCUUAUACGAUUUUUUUGCCUUGGUAUACAUUUUAAAAUAUGAAUUUAAAAAAUUUUUGUAAAAAUAAAAUUCACAAAA
Molecule: small RNA, 1596 nt
Filed under: Pan troglodytes (chimpanzee)
Lineage: Eukaryota; Metazoa; Chordata; Mammalia; Primates; Hominidae
Description: processed transcript
Source: RNAcentral